GGAGAAAAGCAGGGGAUCGUAAGACCUCGCGUUAAUGGAGUGGCCGAUAUCUGAUUAGCUAGUUGGUGAGGUAAAGGCUCACCAAGGCGACGAUCAGUAGCUGGUCUGAGAGGACGACCAGCCACACUGGAACUGAGACACGGUCCAGACUCCUACGGGAGGCUGCAGUGGGGAAUUUUGGACAAUGGGCGCAAGCCUGAUCCAGCCAUUCCGCGUGAGUGAAGAAGGCCUUCGGGUUGUAAAGCUCUUUCGCAAGGGAAGAAAACUUACUCAAUAACACUGGGUGAGGCUGACGGUACCUUGAUAAGAAGCACCGGCUAACUACGUGCCAGCAGCCGCGGUAAUACGUAGGGUGCGAGCGUUAAUCGGAAUUACUGGGCGUAAAGCGUGCGCAGGCGGUUUUGUAAGUCAGAUGUGAAAGCCCCGGGCUCAACCUGGGAACUGCGUUUGAAACUACAAAGCUAG
RNAcentral lists this ribosomal RNA (465 nucleotides) under uncultured bacterium. RNAcentral's name for it is "bacterial SSU rRNA". It matches the Rfam family "Bacterial small subunit ribosomal RNA", at positions 198 to 644 of the family's 1533-position model. The record is from RNAcentral.